AGACAGGUGGUGCAUGGUUGUCGUCAGCUCGUGUCGUGAGAUGUUGGUUAAGUCCCGCAACGAGCGCAACCCUUAUUGCUAGUUACCAUCAUUAAGUUGGGGGACUCUAGCGAGACUGCCAGUGAUAAACUGGAGGAAGGUGGGGAUGACGUCAAAUCAUCAUGCCCCUUAUGACCUGGGCUACAAACGUGAUACAAUGGCUGAAACAAAGGGCAGCGAAGCAGUGAUGUGGAGCGAAACCCAAAAAAGCAGUCUCAGUUCGGAUUGAAGUCUGCAACUCGACUUCAUGAAGUUGGAAUCGCUAGUAAUCGUAGAUCAGAACGCUACGGUGAAUACGUUCUCGGGGUUU
Molecule: ribosomal RNA, 349 nt
Filed under: uncultured Acholeplasma sp.
Lineage: Bacteria; Bacillati; Mycoplasmatota; Mollicutes; Acholeplasmatales; Acholeplasmataceae
Description: bacterial SSU rRNA
Rfam family: Bacterial small subunit ribosomal RNA
Source: RNAcentral